GAGGUAGAGGCGCGGAGGCCAUUAGUACCUGGUGGGAGAAGGGCAUCGGUGAACACCGGGGAAAGGGGUCUUUGCCGAAGUCCUGUUACCGCCACGGUAACAGGGCUGGGGUUGUACCGAAGAGGUCCAACACUGUCGCCGGGGUUACCCCUGACUCCGGUGGAGUGCUAUCU
This 173-nucleotide non-coding RNA is filed under the name marine eukaryotic metagenome. RNAcentral's name for it is "Lysine riboswitch". It matches the Rfam family "Lysine riboswitch aptamer". From Rfam's summary of the family: Riboswitches are metabolite binding domains within certain messenger RNAs that serve as precision sensors for their corresponding targets. Allosteric rearrangement of mRNA structure is mediated by ligand binding, and this results in modulation of gene expression. The record is from RNAcentral.